This 253-nucleotide ribosomal RNA is filed under the name uncultured bacterium. RNAcentral describes it as "partial 16S ribosomal RNA". It matches the Rfam family "Bacterial small subunit ribosomal RNA", at positions 524 to 776 of the family's 1533-position model. The record is from RNAcentral.
UACGUAGGGGGCGAGCGUUGUCCGGAAUCAUUGGGCGUAAAGAGCGUGUAGGCGGCCAGAUAAGUCCGCUGUGAAAUCUCGAGGCUCAACUUCGAGCUGUCGGUGGAAACUGUCUGGCUAGAGUCCGGAAGAGGAGAAUGGAAUUCCUGGUGUAGCGGUGAAAUGCGCAGAUAUCAGGAGGAACACCGAUGGCGAAGGCAGGUCUCUGGGCAUUAACUGACGCUGAGGAGCGAAAGCAUGGGGAGCGAACAGG